UGAGGAAUAUUGGGCAAUGGGCGCAAGCCUGACCCAGCAAUGCCGCGUGAAGGAUGAUGGUCUUCGGAUUGUAAACUUCUUUUAUCAAGGACGAAUAAUGACGGUACUUGAAGAAUAAGCCACGGCUAACUACGUGCCAGCAGCCGCGGUAAUACGUAGGUGGCAAGCGUUAUCCGGAUUUACUGGGUGUAAAGGGCGAGUAGGCGGGUCUGCAAGUCAGGUGUGAAAUGCAGGGGCUCAACCCCUGAGCUGCAUUUGAAACUGUAGAUCUUGAGUGAUGGAGAGGCAGGCGGAAUUCCCGGUGUAGCGGUGGAAUGCGUAGAUAUCGGGAGGAACACCAGUGGCGAAGGCGGCCUGCUGGACAUUAACUGACGCUGAGGAGCGAAAGCGUGGGGAGCAAACAGG
This 405-nucleotide ribosomal RNA is filed under the name uncultured prokaryote. Its description in RNAcentral is "bacterial SSU rRNA". It matches the Rfam family "Bacterial small subunit ribosomal RNA", at positions 355 to 776 of the family's 1533-position model. The record is from RNAcentral. RNAcentral also lists the same sequence under 1 other name.